RNAcentral lists this long non-coding RNA (341 nucleotides) under Mytilus galloprovincialis (Mediterranean mussel). Lineage: Eukaryota; Metazoa; Mollusca; Bivalvia; Mytilida; Mytilidae. The record is from RNAcentral.
UAAAUUAAGAUUGAUUGAUUGUUGGUUGCUUAACGUCCAGUGGCAAAUAUUUCAUGCAUAUUCAGGACGAGAACAAGUUCACAAUAAAUACAAUAGGUAGGUUGAUACAAUAGAGGCCAUCUGGGAUGAUGGUCGGAGAAAUUUGGACUGCCACCGGAAAAGGAGGGUAUAUUGGAUAGGGACAGAAAUUUGGCCUUGCAACAGGCCACCUACGGACCCCUCAGAGAGUUGUUGCAAGGGUUCUUAACGUGCAAAGAGCGUGGCAUUCUCUUUACACGAGGCAUCGGAUUUAACGUCCCCCUUCUGACCGGACGUGACUGCGAACUUAAUACAUCCCGCAC